Molecule: long non-coding RNA, 707 nt
Filed under: Struthio camelus australis
Lineage: Eukaryota; Metazoa; Chordata; Aves; Struthioniformes; Struthionidae
Description: lncRNA (ENSSCUG00000015570.1)
Source: RNAcentral
AUGACAAAUCAUUUCUCAAGCCACCCCUUGAGACCUCACUGCACAAUCAGAGCCUGCAAUGUAGCCUGGAAAUCAAUAAUACCUGGCCCUUUGUGUCAGGGAAUAGUUAAAAAACUAGAUCGAGAGGGAAUGGGCAAAGCAAGGAUCAGCAGACACAGCCUUACGCUAGGAACUUACAAUCAUCUCCAGCAUUUCAUGUGUGUAAAAUCAGAGGGAGCUUUUUUACUGAUUUCACUCAACAACAGGAGUUUGGUUUGGUGACUGAACUGAAAAAAAUCCAUUUCAUGCCUAAAUCUAAACUGGGAGAACGCUUAAGCAAGGACUGUGAUCAAGCAGCUAAAAAGGUUAGAUGCCUCAGAAAUGAGACAAGCAUGAAAGCCUUUAUCUGGGAGAUUUCCGAACUCCAUUUUGCGCAGUGAGAUAGCGUUUAAAUAAUUCAGAUGAAAGAAACUUGGUUAGAAUUGUAUAUGUUACAGCUAGUCCCAGCUGAAUUCUUUUAUUGUUUCACUUAAAAGUUGUGUUUUAGUGUACUGGUGGGUUGGAUUUGCAAAAAGCUCUUUCCUACUUAAUGGAAUGAAAUGGAAAAGUGUUUUGGAAUUGAUUGGCAUCUUCAUGGUAACCUCUUCUGCAGAUCUGGCUGAAUAUUUUGAUCUUUACAUGACAGUAGGUCACUUCUGAAAAUCUGGCUUUUAAUGUGUGUUUCAAAG